GCCUACGGCCACACCACCCUGAACGCGCCCAAUCUCGUCUGAUCUCGGAAGCUAAGCAGGGCUGGGCCUCAUUAGUACUUGGUUGGCA
Molecule: ribosomal RNA, 88 nt
Filed under: Octodon degus (degu)
Lineage: Eukaryota; Metazoa; Chordata; Mammalia; Rodentia; Octodontidae
Source: RNAcentral